GGCCUCCCUCUGUGGGGUGAUCAAUUGCGGGGCCCCAGAUUGAUCACCCCGCAGAGGAAGGCC
Molecule: non-coding RNA, 63 nt
Organism: Myotis lucifugus (little brown bat)
Lineage: Eukaryota; Metazoa; Chordata; Mammalia; Chiroptera; Vespertilionidae
Source: Rfam